GGCCUGUAUGAGUACUGGAGACGGAGAGAGCGCGCGGAAGAAUCGUUAUAUUUCUGUAAAUGGUAAAAUCUAAAAAAGAGACGGAGACCGAGCUGUCAGGUUUAAUCGAUAAUUAUUUUAUGACGUUUGUGGAGCUUUUUUAUCCGUGUAUCUUUGACAUCAGUAUGCCAAAGCAGCUGUUUUCGCCGGGAUAGGAUGCCGAUGAUGACUGGUGCAGACAAGAUUAGACAAGGUUGCUUGCAGAGAUAGGAAAAUGUCUUUGGCACGCCUACAAAAUCUGCCCUGCGCCUAUACAAGCAUGAGGACAAUAGAUGCGCCUUGGUGUCAAUCGACUUCUAAACCUC
Molecule: long non-coding RNA, 344 nt
Organism: Brienomyrus brachyistius
Lineage: Eukaryota; Metazoa; Chordata; Actinopteri; Osteoglossiformes; Mormyridae
Exons: 3
Source: RefSeq, a predicted model, not a curated record